RNAcentral lists this ribosomal RNA (451 nucleotides) under Streptococcus mitis. RNAcentral describes it as "bacterial SSU rRNA". It matches the Rfam family "Bacterial small subunit ribosomal RNA", at positions 28 to 465 of the family's 1533-position model. Lineage: Bacteria; Bacillati; Bacillota; Bacilli; Lactobacillales; Streptococcaceae. The record is from RNAcentral.
GACGAACGCUGGCGGCGUGCCUAAUACAUGCAAGUAGAACGCUGAAGGAGGAGCUUGCUUCUCUGGAUGAGUUGCGAACGGGUGAGUAACGCGUAGGUAACCUGCCUGGUAGCGGGGGAUAACUAUUGGAAACGAUAGCUAAUACCGCAUAAGAGUAGAUGUCGCAUGACAUUUGCUUAAAAGGUGCAAUUGCAUCACUACCAGAUGGACCUGCGUUGUAUUAGCUAGUUGGUGGGGUAACGGCUCACCAAGGCGACGAUACAUAGCCGACCUGAGAGGGUGAUCGGCCACACUGGGACUGAGACACGGCCCAGACUCCUACGGGAGGCAGCAGUAGGGAAUCUUCGGCAAUGGACGGAAGUCUGACCGAGCAACGCCGCGUGAGUGAAGAAGGUUUUCGGAUCGUAAAGCUCUGUUGUAAGAGAAGAAUGAGUGUGAGAGUGGAAAGUUC